AUUGAACGCUGGCGGCAGGCUUAACACAUGCAAGUCGAGCGGAGUGAUGGUGCUUGCACUAUCACUUAGCGGCGGACGGGUGAGUAAUGCUUGGGAAUCUGCCUAUUAGUGGGGGACAACAUCUCGAAAGGGAUGCUAAUACCGCAUACGUCCUACGGGAGAAAGCAGGGGAUCACUUGUGACCUUGCGCUAAUAGAUGAGCCUAAGUCGGAUUAGCUAGUUGGUGGGGUAAAGGCCUACCAAGGCGACGAUCUGUAGCGGGUCUGAGAGGAUGAUCCGCCACACUGGGACUGAGACACGGCCCAGACUCCUACGGGAGGCAGCAGUGGGGAAUAUUGGACAAUGGGGGGAACCCUGAUCCAGCCAUGCCGCGUGUGUGAAGAAGGCCUUAUGGUUGUAAAGCACUUUAAGCGAGGAGGAGGCUCUUUUGGUCAAUACCCAAGAUGAGUGGACGUUACUCGCAGAAUAAGCACCGGCUAACUCUGUGCCAGCCGCCGCCGUAA
Molecule: ribosomal RNA, 503 nt
Filed under: uncultured bacterium
Lineage: Bacteria
Description: partial 16S ribosomal RNA
Rfam family: Bacterial small subunit ribosomal RNA
Source: RNAcentral